This 499-nucleotide ribosomal RNA is filed under the name uncultured Glomeromycotina. RNAcentral's name for it is "partial small subunit ribosomal RNA". It matches the Rfam family "Eukaryotic small subunit ribosomal RNA", at positions 591 to 1092 of the family's 1831-position model. Lineage: Eukaryota; Fungi; Glomeromycota. The record is from RNAcentral.
CCAAUAGCGUAUAUUAAAGUUGCUGCAGUUAAAAAGCUCGUAGUUGAAUUUCGGGACCAUCAUGUCGGUCGUGCCUCGGUACGUACUGGUAUUGUUGGUUUCUCCCUUCUGACGAACCAUGAUGUCAUUUAUUUGGUGUUGUGGGGAAACAGGACUGUUACUUUGAAAAAAUUAGAGUGUUUAAAGCAGGCUCACGCUUGAAUACAUUAGCAUGGGAUAAUGAAAUAGGACGUUUGAUUCUAUUUUGUUGGUUUCUAGGAUCGACGUAAUGAUUAAUAGGGAUAGUUGGGGGCAUUAGUAUUCAAUUGUCAGAGGUGAAAUUCUUGGAUUUAUUGAAGACUAACUACUGCGAAAGCAUUUGCCAAGGAUGUUUUCAUUAAUCAAGAACGAAAGUUAGGGGAUCGAAGACGAUCAGAUACCGUCGUAGUCUUAACCAUAAACUAUGCCGACUAGGGAUCGGAUGAUGUUAAUUUUUUAAUGACUCAUUCGGCGCCUUACG